Molecule: ribosomal RNA, 200 nt
Filed under: uncultured bacterium
Lineage: Bacteria
Description: partial 16S ribosomal RNA
Rfam family: Bacterial small subunit ribosomal RNA
Source: RNAcentral
AGUCUGCAACUCGACUACAUGAAGCUGGAAUCGCUAGUAAUCGCGAAUCAGAAUGUCGCGGUGAAUACGUUCCCGGGUCUUGUACACACCGCCCGUCACACCAUGGGAGUCGGGAAUGCCCGAAGUCAGGUGACCCAACCGGAAGGAGGGAGCUGCCGAAGGCAGGCUCGAUAACUGGGGUGAAGUCGUAACAAGGUAGC